This 2432-nucleotide long non-coding RNA is filed under the name Malus domestica (apple). Its description in RNAcentral is "long non-coding RNA (MDOM_LNC016094)". The stretch from base 1203 to 1322 matches the Rfam family "U5 spliceosomal RNA". The record is from RNAcentral. Lineage: Eukaryota; Viridiplantae; Streptophyta; Magnoliopsida; Rosales; Rosaceae.
GAAUAAGCUCAUUUUUGCUGCUUCACGUUUUUAGCAUUUUUUUCACCCAAAACUGUGAAAAUAAGCUGUUUUUAAGUGUUUACCAAACACAUUUUUUAGCUCAGCUGUUUUUUGAUACCCACUUUUUAUAAAAGCACCUCAGUACCAAACCAGUACUUAUAGAAAUGUUUCAAAGCCGCUUCUGCUGCGUGUGGAUUUUAGAUACUUUAUAUCAUCUCUAGGGGUAAGAUUCAUGUUGAUUUGUUGGAGUAUAUAGGCACUAAACUAUUUUCCCUGUGAUGAUUCUUGUCAACAGAUAUUCAGUACUUUCUUGCAUACCGAGUAUGGUGGUCCUGGGACACUCUUGGUGGUUCCAUUCAUUGACAUGGCUGAUACUCUAAAUGAACGGGGAUUACCUGGAGGCCCCCAAGCAGCUCGUGCGGCAAUCAAAUGGGCGCAAAAUCAUGUCGACAAGGACUGGAACGAAUGGACUGGUGGUGAUGAAAGUUAACAGGAAGCUCAAGCUCGUGUUAUGCAAGGUUGUUUCGUUGUAGUUUGCUAGUUUAAGGAUAGGUUAUGGAGUUGAUCAAGCAGUUUUGGUAUCUGUUGUGCUUGUAAAACCGAUGGCAAGGGAAAUUUGGAAGUGUAUUAGUUGCUUUUGUUGUAACAUUAUGCUGUGAAUCUGUUCCUGGUCUAUCAAUAAAAAGCUGUUCCUUCUUCCUUAUGGUCCGGUCAUCUUCUAUCAUUCGGUGGUGAAAUUCGCAUAUUUGUUUUGAAUGUUUUUCGUAAAUCCAAAGGCUUAAUCCAGUUUAAUCGAAAUCAUCUUUCUCCCCAAAUGAAUUCACUCGCUGAUUUGUUCUCGUUGGAAAACUUCGGCCUAUCUUGGAUAAACUCCUCAAGAAACGGAGAAUGCGGUGGCGUAAGGCCUGCUGGAACCCGACUCUAGCCUCGGAUUUCAGGUUGAUUCUUGAGCCACUCUCACUUAAUGGCGUGCAAAGACCUUAGUCAUGAUUAAUUUUUGGUAUCACCAGUUGUAUACAAUCAUGUUUAUCUUUGUCAACCACCAAUAGUUCCUCUAUUGGACGAACUCAUGGUAAAGGGUCUGAAAAGAUAAAACAAAGAAUAAAACAAUUUGCAAUGGAGUCCCACAUCGAUUAGGAGAAGCACACCAACCAUCCAAGACGUAUUACAUAAUGCUUCUCCAGCUGACAGUUAUAAUCACGGAGCCGUGCGGUGAGCACAAAGCGAACUAUUCUUUCGCCUUUUACUAAAGAAUACCGUGUGUGCACCGCUAAUAUCGGCAUACGCCUAUUUUUUAAAGGGUACUUUAACUUUGAAGUGCCCUGCAAAUUACAGUCUAGUGUUUGUUUCUAAAAUGCGACUGGUGUAAUGUGGCAUGAUUCUCUCCAGUUAUCCAUGUAUGUCUGGAGUAAUGGUAUUUUAAGAUAGUAUUUUGAAGAUUCGUUUGGAAGUGUUUUCAACACAGGUGUAAGCAAGCAUAUAGAAAGUACUUCAAGUGCUUUUGGAACCCAAGAUCAUUUUCUUUAAAAGCGUUUUCAUUUAUUUUAAAAGCACUUUCAAAUGAGCCUAUAUUUGUUCCGAAAUUGUUUGGAACAUUUGGAUUUUGCUCUGAGUGGAUGUCGAAUUUUAUUUGAGUGUACCAAAGUUGGAAAUUAUGAGAUCGGAGUUGGUCCUAAACCCUGAACUGGCUGUGACUGUAGAACCAUUUGCUGCUGUUGAGGGGCUUUGCUAAUGAACAUUAGGUUAAGAGUGAAUUCUUCCUUUUAAUUCAAACGCCUACAUGACAAUACGUUAUUAGUUUGGCAGCCACAUUAGCGUCCAGAAUGUAGUCAACGCAGAAUUACGAAUAAUAUAUCAUAUUAAGACAAUGCUACUCAGUUUGACACUUCCCCAAAAGCACUUGAGUGAAACCAGUAACACAUUCAUAGAUACUUUAUAUCAUCUCUAGGGGUAAGAUUCCUGUUGAUUUGUUGGGGUAUAUAGGCACUAAACUAUUUUCCCUGUGAUGAUUCUUGUCAACAGAUAUUCAGUACUUUCUUGCAUACCGAGUAUGGUGGUCCUGGGACACUCUUGGUGGUUCCGUUCAUUGACAUGGCUGAUACUCUAAAUGAACGGGGAUUACCUGGAGGCCCCCAAGCAGCUCGUGCGGCAAUCAAAUGGGCGCAAAAUCAUGUCGACAAGGACUGGAACGAAUGGACUGGUGGUGAUGAAAGUUAACAGGAAGCUCAAGCUCGUGUUAUGCAAGGUUGUUUCGUUGUAGUUUGCUAGUUUAAGGAUAGGUUAUGGAGUUGAUCAAGCAGUUUUGGUAUCUGUUGUGCUUGUAAAACCGAUGGCAAGGGAAAUUUGGAAGUGUAUUAGUUGCUUUUGUUGUAACAUUAUGCUGUGAAUCUGUUCCUGAGGUCUAUCAAUGAAAAGCUGUUCCUUCUUCCUUA